Molecule: ribosomal RNA, 269 nt
Filed under: uncultured bacterium
Lineage: Bacteria
Description: partial 16S ribosomal RNA
Rfam family: Bacterial small subunit ribosomal RNA
Source: RNAcentral
UACGGAGGGUGCAAGCGUUAAUCGGAAUUACUGGGCGUAAAGGGUUUGUAGGCGGUUUAAUAAGUUAAGUGUGAAAUUCCUGGGCUCAACCUGGGGUAGUCAUUUAAGACUGUUAGACUAGAGUAUAGGAGAGGGUAGUGGAAUUUCCGGUGUAGCGGUGAAAUGCGUAGAGAUCGGAAGGAACACCAGUGGCGAAGGCGGCUACCUGGCCUAAUACUGACGCUGAGGAACGAAAGCAUGGGGAGCAAACAGGAUUAGAAACCCCGGUA